This 350-nucleotide unclassified non-coding RNA is filed under the name plant metagenome. RNAcentral's name for it is "partial contains 5.8S ribosomal RNA, internal transcribed spacer 2, and large subunit ribosomal RNA". The stretch from base 1 to 105 matches the Rfam family "5.8S ribosomal RNA", at positions 50 to 154 of the family's 154-position model. The record is from RNAcentral.
GAAAUGCGAUAAGUAAUGUGAAUUGCAGAAUUCAGUGAAUCAUCGAAUCUUUGAACGCACCUUGCGCUCCUUGGUAUUCCGAGGAGCAUGCCUGUUUGAGUGUCAUGGAAUUCUCAACUCUAUUUGCUUUUGUGAAUAGAGCUUGGAUUUGGAGGUUUAUUGCUGGUACUUGUGAUCGGCUCCUCUUGAAUGCAUUAGCUCGAACCUUUGCGGAUCAGCUAUCGGUGUGAUAAUUGUCUACGCCGUUGCAGUGAAGCAUAUCAAUGGGCUCGGCUUCCAAUCGUCCUUUACUGGACAAUGACUAUGACCUUUGACCUCAAAUCAGGUAGGAUUACCCGCUGAACUUAAGC